GACGAACGCUGGCGGCGUGCCUAAUACAUGCAAGUAGAACGCUGAAGGAGGAGCUUGCUUCUCUGGAUGAGUUGCGAACGGGUGAGUAACGCGUAGGUAACCUGCCUGGUAGCGGGGGAUAACUAUUGGAAACGAUAGCUAAUACCGCAUAACAGUAGAUAUCGCAUGAUAUCUACUUGAAAGGUGCAAUUGCAUCACUACCAGAUGGACCUGCGUUGUAUUAGCUAGUUGGUGAGGUAACGGCUCACCAAGGCGACGAUACAUAGCCGACCUGAGAGGGUGAUCGGCCACACUGGGACUGAGACACGGCCCAGACUCCUACGGGGGGCAGCAGUAGGGAAUCUUCGGCAAUGGACGGAAGUCUGACCGAGCAACGCCGCGUGAGUGAAGAAGGUUUUCGGAUCGUAAAGCUCUGUUGUAAGAGAAGAACGAGUGUGAGAGUGGAAAGUUCACACUGUGACGGUAUCUUACCAGAAAGGGACGGCUAACUACGUG
Molecule: ribosomal RNA, 495 nt
Filed under: uncultured bacterium
Lineage: Bacteria
Description: partial 16S ribosomal RNA
Rfam family: Bacterial small subunit ribosomal RNA
Source: RNAcentral